RNAcentral lists this ribosomal RNA (255 nucleotides) under uncultured bacterium. Its description in RNAcentral is "partial 16S ribosomal RNA". It matches the Rfam family "Bacterial small subunit ribosomal RNA", at positions 524 to 776 of the family's 1533-position model. The record is from RNAcentral.
UACGUAGGGUGCAAGCGUUAAUCGGAAUUACUGGGCGUAAAGCGUGCGCAGGCGGUUCUAUAAGACAGAUGUGAAAUCCCCGGGCUCAACCUGGGAACUGCAUUUGUGACUGUAGAGCUGGAGUACGGUAGAGGGGGAUGGAAUUCCGCGUGUAGCAGUGAAAUGCGUAGAUAUGCGGAGGAACACCGAUGGCGAAGGCAAUCCCCUGGACCUGUACUGACGCUCAUGCACGAAAAGCGUGGGGGAGCAAACAGG